AAACAAGGCUGUAAAAUGAGGUGACCACGCACGGAGAACAAAGUUCACAUCUUUCAACUCGCAAAAGUCGCCGCGUGAAGACCAAGGUGCCGCUUCGGGCAGGAAGAAGGAUAUUGCCUGACCAGCUCAGUGUUCCCCGAACUAUUUGUUUUGGAUUCCACUGUUGUCGAAUCCUUGGAAUCUCUGCUUUCACCCUUAUCCAGAGUGGAUUAAGCAGAUAACUUCCAAGGCAAGAGACUCUGAUGGUGUUGUCAAGAACAAGAAUGUGGUUACAAGUAGGGGAUAUAAACUGCUUGAGCCUUGCUACAAUGACUGAAAGGAAUUCCUGUUCAGAUUGGACCUGGUGACCUCUCUUGGAUAUCCACAAUUUUCUGCACAGAAUUUCCUUCCCUACAUCUUUUGGAAUAAUAAUUCUACAGCUUCCUGUGCUACUAUGAAGAUUUAGGACUUGCAAACCCUUUUGUUGAUCCAGUAAAGACGGCAGGAAAUUUUCGUGUAGGAAGGAACUGCAGAUGCUAGUUUACACCGAAGAUAGACACAAAAUGCGGGACAGGCAGCAUCUCUAGAAAGAAGAAAUGGGUGACGUUUCUGGGUUGAUACCCUACUCCAGGAACCUUGUUGACCUUCUCAGUCUCCUUUUCCCACUAUUGUUCUGGUAGCAUUUUGGAGUAAAUUGCACACUUAGUGAUGAAUGGAAAAUUGGUGCCUUAUCUAUUUAAUUAACAACUUGUCAAACAAUACUUUCUCAGAAAUCAUAUAUUCCAUGAUUCGUUUGACUAAUCACCAAUGUCAAGGUGUAUCGAGUGUAUUUUCUUUGUUUACUGUAAAGAGAGGAGUAUAUUUUAUUUCUGUUAUCAGUGACUAGCCAAAAGAAUCACAAAAUGUAUGAUUUAGAGUCAUAGAGUGAUACAGUAUGGAAACAGGCCCUUCAGCCCAACUUGCCCACACCGGCCAACAUGUCCCAGCUACCCUCGUCCCACCUGCCCGCGUUUGGUCCACAUCCCUGCAAACUUGUCCUAUCCAUGUACUUGUCUAAACUGUUUCUUAAACGUUCGGAUAGUCCCAGCCUCUGGCAACUUGUUCCAUACACCCACCACCCUUUGUGUGAAAAAGUUACCCCUCAGAUUCCUAUUAAACCAAUGUCCUCUGGACCUCAAUCCCCCUACUCUGGGCAAGAGACUCUAUAGGUCUACCCAAUCUAUUCCUCUCAUGGUCUUAUACACCCUCUAUAAGAUCACCCCUCAACCUCCUGCGCUCCAAGGAAUAGAGUCCUAGACUGCACAACCUCUCCCUAUAGCUCAGACCCUCUAGUCCUGGCAACAUCCUUGUAAAUCUUCUCUCUACCCUUUCAAGCGUGACAAUAUCUUUCCUAUAACAUGUUGCCCAGAACUAAACACAAUACUCUAAAGAUUUAUUAGAAAGUAUUUUUUUAAAGUUAUCAAUUAAAUAGAAAAGGCACCAAUUUUCCAUUAAUCAUUAAGAGUGUCAUUUACUCCAAAAUAGCUAAUCACUCUUGUAUAUCAACAUUCAGCAGAGGGACUAACUGUUAGCCACUUGCAGAACAAGGCCCCUUGGUCUAACAUCCAUACCAACUAAGAGGUUUAACAGUGCAAGUCCCAUUUGCCUGCAUUUGGUCCAUAUCACUCACUCUAAAUCAUUCCUAUCCAUGAACCUGUCUAAAUGUUUUUUAAAUGUACGAUAUGGUGUACCUCUGGGAUUGAUGCUGUUUGUGGUUAUAUCGACGAUUUGGAUGAAAAUGUACAAGGCAUGAUUAGCAAGUUAACAGAUGACACUAAACUAAAUGAUAUUGUAGACGAUGAAUCCUGUCUAGAUCAGGUGGGCAAGUUGGCCAAGGAAUGGCAAAUGUAGUUUAAUUCAGAUAAAUGUGAGAUAUUGCAUUUUGGGAAGUCAAACCAAGGCAGGACCUUCACAGUGAAAGAUAGGGCCCUUGGAAGUGUUGCAGAACAGAUGGAUCUAGGUGUGGUAGUACAUGAUCCCUGAAAGUGGAGACACAGGUUGAAAGGUUGGUGAAGAAGUUGGCCUUCAUCAUUCAGGAAAUUGAGUGCAGAGGUUGUGACAUUAGGUUACAGUUAUACAACAUGUUUAUCAGGCUGCACAUUAUUGUGUUUCAGCUUUGGUCAUUGUGCUUUAAGAAAGAUGUUGUUAAGCUGGUGAGUGUGCAGAGAGAAUUGACAACAAUAUUGCCAGGACUCAAGGCCUGAGCAACAGAAAGAGGUUGGGUAGGCUUGGGAUGUUAUCCCUUGGAGCACAGCAAGCUGAGGAUUGAUCUGAUAGCAAUGUAUAAAAUUAUGAAGGGAAUAAAUAGAGCAAAUGCACAGAGUUUUGUUCCUUGGCUAGGGGAAUCAAGCACGAGGGCACAGGUUUACGGUGAGAGAGGAAAGAUUUAAUAGGAACCUGAGGGGCAACUUUUUACACAGAGGGAGGUUGGUAUAUGGAGCAAUCUUUCAGAGUAAAUAGCUGAGGCAGAUACAAUAACAGUUAAAAGACAUUAGGCCAGGUGCAUAGAUAGGACAGGAUUAGAGAGAUAGGAGCAAAAUGCUGUCAAAUGGAAUGAACUUAGAUAAGGCUUCUUGGUUGGCAUGGAUAAAUUGGGCCGAAUGACUAAUUUCCAUUAUGUAAGGGACCCUAUAACACAAAUUAGAAAUAUACCCUGUUGCGCAAAUCUGGUCUAAUAAGGUAGACGGGGACACAUUUUUGUGUUUGGUAAAAAGGAUACCUUUAACUUUCUUGUAUCUUUCUAUGGUUUAUGUACCACCACAUUAUUUAUGUUAAUAUUUAAACAGUGCCAAAUUAUUUGGACGUAUCCAAUUUACUGCACGAUGAUUAAAGUGUUCAGCAAUGAUUGUCGCUGUGCAGUUAAGUUCUGAAAACUGCACAGAUGGGGAUAUCAUCAUAUACAACCUAAAUCACAUUGAAAAUGCUGUUGUGAAAUAUAUUUCUGGUUUGAAGUAGUAGAUCUAAAGAACUUUAGCAGUUAAGCCCAGUUGCUGAUUCCCCAUUAUGUUUCUUUUAUGAUUAAGUAUCUUCAGAACAAAGUUUGUCUAUGCAAGGCAGAACUCACUAAUGCUGUCAAACAGUACCAACCUGCCAUCUAGUGCACAGCCAGCUGAAGUACUAUGUGCAUCUUCUUGGUCCAAGCAUUAUUGAUACUGUGCUCGUAUUAAACCAAAUACUGGCAGGAUGUUGGCCACCUGCACAGUUCAAGGGCAUUUAUGGAUUGAGUUUCUUGUUCUUAUGUAAAUUAUAACUUGAUCUUCAAAAGCUCACAAUGAGAUGUGAAAUAUAAUCAAACA
This is a long non-coding RNA of Leucoraja erinaceus (little skate), 3314 nucleotides long. RefSeq lists it as uncharacterized. NCBI's taxonomy places the organism in Eukaryota, Metazoa, Chordata, Chondrichthyes, Rajiformes, Rajidae. The record is from RefSeq and is a predicted model, not a curated record. The transcript is spliced from 4 exons.